AGCGGGACAGAUGGGAGCUUGCUCCCUGAUGUUAGCGGCGGACGGGUGAGUAACACGUGGGUAACCUGCCUGUAAGACUGGGAUAACUCCGGGAAACCGGGGCUAAUACCGGAUGGUUGUUUGAACCGCAUGGUUCAGACAUAAAAGGUGGCUUCGGCUACCACUUACAGAUGGACCCGCGGCGCAUUAGCUAGUUGGUGAGGUAACGGCUCACCAAGGCGACGAUGCGUAGCCGACCUGAGAGGGUGAUCGGCCACACUGGGACUGAGACACGGCCCAGACUCCUACGGGAGGCAGCAGUAGGGAAUCUUCCGCAAUGGACGAAAGUCUGACGGAGCAACGCCGCGUGAGUGAUGAAGGUUUUCGGAUCGUAAAGCUCUGUUGUUAGGGAAGAACAAGUGCCGUUCAAAUAGGGCGGCACCUUGACGGUACCUAACCAGAAAGCCACGGCUAACUACGUGCCAGCAGCCGCGGUAAUACGUAGGUGGCAAGCGUUGUCCGGAAUUAUUGGGCGUAAAGGGCUCGCAGGCGGUUUCUUAAGUCUGAUGUGAAAGCCCCCGGCUCAACCGGGGAGGGUCAUUGGAAACUGGGGAACUUGAGUGCAGAAGAGGAGAGUGGAAUUCCACGUGUAGCGGUGAAAUGCGUAGAGAUGUGGAGGAACACCAGUGGCGAAGGCGACUCUCUGGUCUGUAACUGACGCUGAGGAGCGAAAGCGUGGGGAGCGAACAGGAUUAGAUACCCUGGUAGUCCACGCCGUAAACGAUGAGUGCUAAGUGUUAGGGGGUUUCCGCCCCUUAGUGCUGCAGCUAACGCAUUAAGCACUCCGCCUGGGGAGUACGGUCGCAAGACUGAAACUCAAAGGAAUUGACGGGGGCCCGCCACAAGCGGUGGAACAUGUGGUUUAAUUCGAAGCAACGCGAAGAACCUUACCAGGUCUUGACAUCCUCUGACAAUCCUAGAGAUAGGACGUCCCCUUCGGGGGCAAAAUGACAGGUGGUGCAUGGUUGUCGUCAGCUCGUGUCGUGAGAUGUUGGGUUAAGUCCCGCAACGAGCGCAACCCUUGAUCUUAGUUGCCAGCAUUCAGUUGGGCACUCUAAGGUGACUGCCGGUGACAAACCGGAGGAAGGUGGGGAUGACGUCAAAUCAUCAUGCCCCUUAUGACCUGGGCUACACACGUGCUACAAUGGACAGAACAAAGGGCAGCGAAACCGCGAGGUUAAGCCAAUCCCACAAAUCUGUUCUCAGUUCGGAUCGCAGUCUGCAACUCGACUGCGUGAAGCUGGAAUCGCUAGUAAUCGCGGAUCAGCAUGCCGCGGUGAAUACGUUCCCGGGCCUUGUACACACCGCCCGUCACACCACGAGAGUUUGUAACACCCGAAGUCGGUGAGGUAACCUUUAUGGAGCCAGCCGCCGAAG
Molecule: ribosomal RNA, 1416 nt
Filed under: Bacillus spizizenii
Lineage: Bacteria; Bacillati; Bacillota; Bacilli; Caryophanales; Bacillaceae
Description: bacterial SSU rRNA
Rfam family: Bacterial small subunit ribosomal RNA
Source: RNAcentral